This 680-nucleotide long non-coding RNA is filed under the name Lepisosteus oculatus (spotted gar). Its description in RNAcentral is "lncRNA (ENSLOCG00000022262.1)". Lineage: Eukaryota; Metazoa; Chordata; Actinopteri; Semionotiformes; Lepisosteidae. The record is from RNAcentral.
UUUUGUUACUCUUGACUAUAGUAGGCUCUGUUCAGUUUACAUAACAUUGUUGUGGGAAUUAUUGUUCAAGCCUUUGAAUGGGGGUAGACUUGUUUGCAUGCUGAAAAAUAUAUCACCAUAGUAACCCUUCUCAUUCAAUACUGAAAGAGCUCGUUGAGAGCUUGGCUGAGUUGGUUAAAAUAGGAAACACACGUAAAAUAUCUUUGAAGCUUUAACUUCCGUAUAGACAUAGCAUGUCACAUAUAUGCGUAAAAAAUGAAGAAAAAUUCCCAGGCUUGGCUACAUACACUGCGAAAGAAGAGCCAGGCCCGGGAUGCGGCGGUAUGUCCUUCCUCCUCCCCGCCCAGGUGACGGAACUCCCUCACAGAGAAGCCGUCCUUAGCAUGACCUCCACUCCCGAUAACGGCCUCCUCCUGCUGGGCCAGGACGGCCUGCUCUCCCUCUGGUCUCCGACACUCCGGCUCAGAAAAACCAGAGCACUUCUUGAAGAAAACAAACAACCAGCCAGAACACCCAAGUGGAUUGCAGACACAACGUUGAUGCCGCAGUAUAACAAACUUGUUAUCGGAACUUGGCGCAAUGGACAUUUCUCUCUAUAUAUUAUUACAGACUCUGUGAAAUCUGACUGGACACCAAGCAACGGAUUUCAACAGUUUUUUUUUUGUAGAAGUGAAGCACAG